Molecule: ribosomal RNA, 500 nt
Filed under: uncultured Glomeromycotina
Lineage: Eukaryota; Fungi; Glomeromycota
Description: partial small subunit ribosomal RNA
Rfam family: Eukaryotic small subunit ribosomal RNA
Source: RNAcentral
CCAAUAGCGUAUAUUAAAGUUGUUGCAGUUAAAAAGCUCGUAGUUGAAUUUCGGGAUCAAUAUGUCUGUCGUGCCUUCGGUACGUACGGGUAUAAUUGGUUUCUACCUUCUGAUGAACCUUGAUGCCAUUAAUUUGGUGUCUUGGGGACUCAGGACUGUUACCUUGAAAAAAUUAGAGUGUUUAAAGCAGGCAUACGCUUGAAUACAUUAGCAUGGAAUAAUGAAAUAGGACGUUCGAUUCUAUUUUGUUGGUUUCUAGGAUCGACGUAAUGAUUAAUAGGGAUAGUUGGGGGCAUUAGUAUUCAAUUGUCAGAGGUGAAAUUCUUGGAUUUAUUGAAGACUAACUACUGCGACAGCAUUUGCCAAGGAUGUUUUCAUUAAUCAAGAACGAAAGUUAGGGGAUCGAAGACGAUCAGAUACCGUCGUAGUCUUAACCAUAAACUAUGCCGACUAGGGAUCGGAUGAUGUUAAUUUUUUAAUGACUCAUUCGGCGCCUUACG